Molecule: long non-coding RNA, 748 nt
Organism: Macadamia integrifolia
Lineage: Eukaryota; Viridiplantae; Streptophyta; Magnoliopsida; Proteales; Proteaceae
Exons: 2
Source: RefSeq, a predicted model, not a curated record
UAGAGGAGGGAUAGAUAAGGAAAGGGAUCUGAUGAGGAAUAAAUAAAUUAAUUUUCAAAGAAUAUUUAAACAUUAGAAAAUAUAUAAAGGGUACCAAUAAUAUUGAAAAAAAUAAAAAAGAUUUACAAAAGAAAAUUUUAUUUGCAGAGGAGGAUCUCACCCCAUUUAGAAAAAUAAGAUUAAUUUCUCUAUUCAAACAUAAUCAAGGCACCCAAAUAUGGGUAUUUACCUACCACCGUAUAUCUACAUUCUAAGUAAGGAAAUCUUCUUAGGAGCUCCAAAAGUUUCUUUAUAAAUACCAUCCACUCACUAUAAGCUGAGAACCAACAAGCAGUCAACAUCAGAGUGAGAAUUAUUAGCUUAUAAGUAUUGUUGGAGAUUUAGUAAGUAAUGGCUAAGAUUUCUUACACCUCCUUCGUCAUCCUUGCUAUCCUUGUCUUCUCAGCUGCAUCAUCAAUGGUGAUGAAAGUAGAUGCGCAACAGAAGGGGGACUGCCAGGUAAUGUUGUAUCCCGAUAACUGCGUGCCAGCAGCUUGUAACAAUCAGUGCAUCCAAAAGUUUAAAGGUGGAGAUGGAGAGUGUAUAGGGAUAAGUGUUGGACGUGAUGUACAUUUCGGAUGUUCUUGUGUGUACCCAUGCUAGAAUCCAACAAAGUAUUUCUCUACAUGUAUGAUGGUGGUCUAUUCAUCAUAUGACCAUUAAAAGUCAUGCAUACAUGCAUAUCAAUAAAUAAAUUAUUAUUGGGUUA